This 878-nucleotide long non-coding RNA is filed under the name Homo sapiens (human). RNAcentral's name for it is "PREDICTED lncRNA (TCONS_00126073)". The record is from RNAcentral. Lineage: Eukaryota; Metazoa; Chordata; Mammalia; Primates; Hominidae.
GUCCACAUUAGGUUUUGCUGCUUUAUACACAGGAAUGAUUUAUUUUACAUACUAGUCAGUUACAACAUUAGCCUGUAAAAUGAAAUCCAUUUUUUAAGGUCUCAUAAGGCAGAAUAAACUUCAUAAUAUUAUGCUUUCACAUUAGCCAGUCUGAUAAAGCAUAAACAACUUAAGACUAUGGUAACAGUUUAAAAUAAAAUUUACAGAACAGGCACUUUGAAGUCAGCUACUGUGUGUAACUUCACAGUUAACGUUACUUGGACAUAUCUCAUUUCAUCAAAGGUUAUCACCCAGUGAAGCAAAUGUUCCUUUGAUGCAGACGCACAAACAGAUUUAGGUUCCAAACACUGUAUUCUGGUUGUAAUACAUGCAAGACAGACCCUAAGUUAGAAAAAUCUUCUGAAAGAAAAUGAAAAACAAAAAGCAGCCAGAAAUGAAAGCAUUUACAAGCACUUGAAUAAGGCCUUUCAAUGUUAAAUCAGUGUUUUAAAUCCCUUCAUUCUCAGGUAAGGGAUUAAGAGGCCGAGAGAGAUAUCGUCUGCGAGGGUGAGGAUACUGGAGGUUGGCAGUGUCAGCAUCGCAAGAGUGCUCUACCAGAGGAGGAGGAGGAGGAGGAAGGAGCUGGGCAUAACUGGACCAUCUCGAUCCAGCCCGUGGGGAAUCCAGAGGGGAUAACAAGAGGAUAUAACCACAGGACAAUUCAUUAGGCUGUGUUUUGACGUUUCCUGAAUUCUAUUCCAAAUUAUUCACAAAGGCAUAUUAAAAUAAUUUUAUCUUACAAAUUCACAUAUUUAAAAUUUGAACAUGGAAACAGACUCUAGAUGACAUCAAAUAUUCCUUAUUAUGAUAUACAAGAAUGUAACAUAUGCUAAAUAUUC